AAUAGAUACCCUGGUAGUCCACGCUGUAAACGAUGGAUACUAGGUGUAGGAGGUAUCGACCCCUUCUGUGCCGGAGUUAACACAAUAAGUAUCCCACCUGGGGAGUACGGCCGCAAGGUUGAAACUCAAAGGAAUUGACGGGGGCCCGCACAAGCAGUGGAGUAUGUGGUUUAAUUCGAAGCAACGCGAAGAACCUUACCAGGGCUUGACAUCCAUAGAAUCCUCAAGAGAUUGGGGAGUGCCUUCGGGAGCUAUGAGACAGGUGGUGCAUGGUUGUCGUCAGCUCGUGUCGUGAGAUGUUGGGUUAAGUCCCGCAACGAGCGCAACCCUUAUCGUUAGUUGCCAGCACGUGAAGGUGGGCACUCUAGCGAGACUGCCGGUGACAAAUCGGAGGAAGGUGGGGAUGACGUCAAAUCAUCAUGCCCCUUAUGUCCUGGGCUACACACGUACUACAAUGGCUGUUACAGAGGGAAGCGAAGCAGUGAUGUGGAGCAAAUCCCGAAAAGCAGUCUCAGUUCGGAUUGU
This 525-nucleotide ribosomal RNA is filed under the name uncultured bacterium. RNAcentral's name for it is "bacterial SSU rRNA". It matches the Rfam family "Bacterial small subunit ribosomal RNA", at positions 777 to 1301 of the family's 1533-position model. The record is from RNAcentral.